RNAcentral lists this ribosomal RNA (471 nucleotides) under uncultured organism. RNAcentral's name for it is "partial 16S ribosomal RNA". It matches the Rfam family "Bacterial small subunit ribosomal RNA", at positions 335 to 797 of the family's 1533-position model. The record is from RNAcentral.
ACUCCUACGGGAGGCAGCAGUGGGGAAUUUUGGACAAUGGGCGAAAGCCUGAUCCAGCAAUGCCGCGUGAGUGAAGAAGGCCUUCGGGUUGUAAAGCUCUUUUGUCAGGGAAGAAACGGUGAAAGCUAAUAUCUUUUGCUAAUGACGGUACCUGAAGAAUAAGCACCGGCUAACUACGUGCCAGCAGCCGCGGUAAUACGUAGGGUGCAAGCGUUAAUCGGAAUUACUGGGCGUAAAGCGUGCGCAGGCGGUUUUGUAAGUCUGAUGUGAAAUCCCCGGGCUCAACCUGGGAAUUGCAUUGGAGACUGCAAGGCUAGAAUCUGGCAGAGGGGGGUAGAAUUCCACGUGUAGCAGUGAAAUGCGUAGAUAUGUGGAGGAACACCGAUGGCGAAGGCAGCCCCCUGGGUCAAGAUUGACGCUCAUGCACGAAAGCGUGGGGAGCAAACAGGAUUAGAUACCCUUGUAGUCCCA